CCAAUAGCGUAUAUUAAAGUUGUUGCAGUUAAAAAGCUCGUAGUUGAAUUUCGGGAUCAAUAUGCCGGUCAUGCCUUGGUAUGUACUGGUAUCUUUGAUUUCUCCCUUCUGACGAACUUUGAUGUCAUUAAUUUGGUGUCAUAGGGAAUCAGGACUGUUACUUUGAAAAAAUUAGAGUGUUUAAAGCAGGCUCACGCUUGAAUACAUUAGCAUGGAAUAA
RNAcentral lists this ribosomal RNA (220 nucleotides) under uncultured Glomus. RNAcentral's name for it is "partial small subunit ribosomal RNA". It matches the Rfam family "Eukaryotic small subunit ribosomal RNA", at positions 591 to 817 of the family's 1831-position model. Lineage: Eukaryota; Fungi; Glomeromycota; Glomeromycetes; Glomerales; Glomeraceae. The record is from RNAcentral.